Long non-coding RNA from Mya arenaria, 1602 nucleotides. RefSeq lists it as uncharacterized. The transcript is spliced from 2 exons. The record is from RefSeq and is a predicted model, not a curated record. NCBI's taxonomy places the organism in Eukaryota, Metazoa, Mollusca, Bivalvia, Myida, Myidae.
UUUCAAGUUAAGAGUGGCCUCGGCUGUGUGUUUAUAGAACGACUAUAUUUUGCCGUAUAGGAUCUUAGUAAUAAACAUCACGUAGACGGUUUAACACUCGAAAUAUUUUGUUCUGCAGGAAAAUUUGUAAAUAUAUAUAUUGUUCUGAACGUCAAACUUACAUAUAUAAAGGAGAUAAAACAUACUUGUUCGGCUAAUAAUUUAUUCACAUUUAAAGAGCCGUUUUGUAAGCAAAGGAACCGAUUGAAAAGUUCCAGGUCGUCUUAACGGGAGCGAGAGAUUCAAAGUUCGAAAUUUCCAUGAAUAACACACAAGUCGUACUACAAGAGACGAACACAGGGAGGGGAAAGGGCGAGGGUAUGGGAUCUUCAUUCAUUCUGGCUUAUCAGCAACAGUACGGGGCGCUAUUGGAGCGGAGUCAAGCGCUUGAGAGAUACAUGGAGCGCCUACUUCAGGAGUACCUGAUCGCUUUCACGGUCCGGGAUGUUGCCACGCUGCUGGACAGACUCUAUAGGGGAAGCUAACACAUGCAACCAGAUUCGUCACCAUCAACAGAUGCAAUAAAGGAGAUAAUGUUUCCUUCCACAUUCUUCAGAUCUCAGCUCUGACGUCACGCACAGUUGAUAACAGCCAUCGCGAAAAUGAGUGUCAUACGUCAUGCGGUUAUAAAUCACGGACUUACUACCAAUAUACAAGGUAAUAAGUCAACUUGAAUACAGAGUGACUAACGGUCAUCCUCGUUAUAAAUCACGGACCAGGGCUGACGUUCGGUUGUUAACCAUUGAGUUUCAAUAUUGUCUUCGAGGUUAUAAAGAUCAAGCCACAAUGGACCAGAUUUUGACACAAGCUUUUCAGUACAUGAGAAGAGAAACAGAUAGAGAAACGUGAUCAUUAUAGUGUCCUCUGAUGUGUUUAUAUCUGAAGUUUACACACAGUGAAAACAUAAUUUAAAAUACCUGAAUUCGCUGACGUCUCUAUGUAUUUAACGAAUGUCUCAGGGGUUUUUUAAUACAGCAAUGUAUCAAUGCAAUUAUACUUUAUUAUUAGAAUACCUUUAUCAAAUUUCACUGAAUCAUCAACUUGUAUUUAAUAAUUUCUCAUAUGUGGUUGACAUACAGAAAUUGUGAAAUGAACAGUGGUAUCUCAACUGUUUAAUUGUAAAUUGUCUUCACUCAUAUUCUUUUUAUAAAAUGUUCAUCUAUUUAUUUCAUUCAUCAGCAUUAUCUCAUGUACGAUUAAUCUUGUCUGUGACGAGAGUAAUAUGCUGGUCAACGCAAGUUUAUCUCUGUCGGUCAAUGCAAGUUUAUCAUUGCCGGUCAAUGCAAGUUUAUCAUUGCCGGUCAAUGUAAGAUUAUCAUUGCCGGUCAAUUCAAUGUUUAUCAUUGCCGGUCAAUGCAAGUUUAUCAUUGCCGGUCAAUGCAAGUUUUUCAUUGUCGGUCAAUGCAAGUUUAUCAUUUCCGGUCAAAUGCAAGUUUUAUCAUUUUUAACAGGUUCUGCUGGUCAGAUUCUGUCUUUAUAAGUUUUGAACUGUUGUUAUGAACUUAUGUUGUUAAUAUGUUGUUGUUUUUAAAUAUACGUUACUGAUAAAAGGAAGAAAACAAG